Molecule: ribosomal RNA, 496 nt
Filed under: uncultured bacterium
Lineage: Bacteria
Description: partial 16S ribosomal RNA
Rfam family: Bacterial small subunit ribosomal RNA
Source: RNAcentral
AUGAACGCUGGCGGCGUGCCUAAUACAUGCAAGUCGAGCGAACGGACGAGAAGCUUGCUUUUCUGAUGUUAGCGGCGGACGGGUGAGUAACACGUGGAUAACCUACCUAUAAGACUGGGAUAACUUCGGGAAACCGGAGCUAAUACCGGAUAAUAUUUUGAACCGCAUGGUUCAAAAGUGAAAGACGGUCUUGCUGUCACUUAUAGAUGGAUCCGCGCUGCAUUAGCUAGUUGGUAAGGUAACGGCUUACCAAGGCAACGAUGCAUAGCCGACCUGAGAGGGUGAUCGGCCACACUGGAACUGAGACACGGUCCAGACUCCUAUGGGAGGCAGCAGUAGGGAAUCUUCCGCAAUGGGCGAAAGCCUGACGGAGCAACGCCGCGUGAGUGAUGAAGGUCUUCGGAUCGUAAAACUCUGUUAUUAGGGAAGAACAUAUGUGUAAGUAACUGUGCACAUCUUGACGGUACCUAAUCAGAAAGCCACGGCUAACUACGUG